Molecule: ribosomal RNA, 253 nt
Filed under: uncultured bacterium
Lineage: Bacteria
Description: partial 16S ribosomal RNA
Rfam family: Bacterial small subunit ribosomal RNA
Source: RNAcentral
UACGUAGGUGGCAAGCGUUGUCCGGAUUUAUUGGGGUUAAAGGGUGCGUAGGCGGUUUUCUAAUUCAGCAGUGAAAUACGGCAGCUCAACUGUCGAGGUGCUGUUGAUACUGGGGAACUUGAGUACUGAUGAGGUAGGCGGAAUGGACGGUGUAGCGGUGAAAUGCUUAGAGAUCGUCCAGAACACCGAUAGCGAAGGCAGCUUACUAAGGAGUAACUGACGCUGAGGCACGAAAGUGUGGGGAUCAAACAGG